GUGGUGGAAUCUCACUACAGUUGAGCCAGACAAAAGGACAGUGACAAAGUAGUUAGGUGACGAAAAGAUGAGGCUGGUUUGGUAGCUACGUCCAAAUGAGAAUCCGGUGGGGUCUAGGUGGUGGUGAGGUUGGUUUAAAAGAGAAAAUCAGAGGGAAACAAACCCUAGGCUGCUAGAUCUGAGGUGAGGUUAUGGUUGGUUAGUUUCUUAAGGUAAGAGAGGAAGGAUAGACUGGUAAGUUUGGAGGUGAAGGAUUAUUUAGCAAGAAGAUGUUGAUGCAAACAAGGCUUCAUGGAAACAAGAUUUCUGAUACAGACUCGAGGUCGGAAAGAAGAUGUGGACAGUAUUCCAGCAUAAUUCAAUGAAAUUCACCAGUGUCCAGUGUAAGCCGUUUGGAGAUCAUUCGAACUUCCCUCCCAUUCUCUCAUCCGAGUCCUAUCCCUGGAGCAGACCAUCGACAACUUCACUGUGCAACUGGCGUUCGAUGACAUGGAAUCGGCCGACGCAGUUCCAAAGCUGAAGUUAUACCUGAACUCUUUCAUCUCUGAACUCCAAAUUGGCGGUACCCUGAUCUGCAAAUCGAAGGUCCAAAAACAGGCAGAUGGACUUGAUGUAGAGCCAAGGGUUGGAGUCCCUGGUGAUUGGCAUGUAUACUCAAGCAUUGGCUGAUGGUGGGUGAGACAGACCCUUUCUACAACCCUCUAAAUAACUACAUGAUCCAUAUAGAUGAAAAGAAGCAAUUUGUGAGCUCAUUAUGUGUUUCUUAGGUGGAAAAGGAUCAAUGUUCAGAAGCAGGAGCUUUUGUUGCCAUUGUCAUUCACCCCCAGAGGGAAUCAACAUUUUGAGUUAAGAGCUGUUGAUGUAUCAACAACCGGAUAAGAUGGCAUCACUUAGGCUUGGUAGGUGAUGCUUGUAAUAAGGCCUUAGCUUCUAUAGAAAGUACUCUCAAUGUAAAUAUGAUCUUGAAAGGACAACACACUGCUCAGAAGGCAAUACUGAAUAUUUUACUAUGGACAUAUUGAUAGUUAUAUUAUCAGUUUAUAAUAAUAUGUACAUGGGGAUUAUUGGAGAUAACCCUCAUAACCGAACCAGCUUUGGAGAUAAUCCUCCUGGAGGUUAUCCUACUAGAUCCAGAACCUCUAACCAAUCCAGAUCCAAUUUGGACUUUGAUAAAGAUAAGGAUAAGGACUGUAAAUCAAGAUCAAGAUAAUCCAUCAUGUACUCUAUCUAGCUUUCUAUUGUUAUCUUGUGCAUAUCAGUGUAUGAUCCAAAAUUUUCACUACAGUCUAUAAAUACCACUAGCUUCAGUGCUCCAAUUCACCGAAGUCUAUUCCCUCAUAUCUCUCUCUAUUUCUGUUAUUUCUUUAGUUUAAACUUGGUAUUAGAGCCGAUGGAUUUUUCUCAAGGGAGCAAUGGCAGCCGAACCAAUGUGAAUGCUGGUUCGAAUAUUUCAGGAUCGACAUCUUCGAUUCCUUCUCUUUAGAAUGUGACGCACUACCUUCCCAUCAAGCUAGGCAGUGACAACUACCUACUAUGGCGUGCGCAGUUCCUUCCUAUACUUUGACAUCACCAUCGGAUGGAUCUUGUUGAAGGGAAAAAGCAACCUCCACCAGAGAUGAAACCUGAUCCAGCAGGCGAAGGGAGUAUCUUGAAUCCAGAAUAUAUCAAAUGGUAUGACACUGAUCAACUUGUUCUAAGUUGGUUAAUUUCUUCUUUUACUAAGGGUGUCAUGGCCCAAGUUGUGGAAUUUUCGACUUCAACAGAGGUAUGGUGCUCUCUUGUUACUUCUUACUCAACCCAUGCUAGAUUUCACAUCCUGCAACUUAGGAAACAAUUGCACAGUUUAAAGAAGGGAUCUUUAUCUAUUUCUGCUUACAUUCAAAAAGCAAAAUCUAUAGCGGACAGUUUGUCUAUUGUUGCUGAACCUAUUCAUAAAUCUGAUUUGGUUUUAUAUAUUCUAGUUGGGUUAGGCAAUGAAUAUGAGUCUGUUCUGACUGCCAUAACCAACAGACCAAAUGCGCAUACCCUUGGUGUGCAUGAUAUUAUUGGCUCUCUUCUGAACCAUGAGAUUUGGCUCGAAGAGCAAGGACUUACCUCGUCAGAUUUGGGUGUUUCACUAGUUGCUAAUGUAAUUGGAGUGAAACUGAAAAAUAAUACAGGGUUCCAGAAUCAGCAAAAAAAUUUUCAAAAUACGUACGGCCGAGGGCGAGGACAACAACAAAAUUUUCAGAAUUAUAAUUCUCAACAAAAUUACAACCAGAAUUAGUUCUUUAAUGGUGAACGAGGUAAGGCACCUUCGAUUAUCUGUCAGAUCUGCAACAAACCUGGACAUGGUGUGUUCACUUGUAGGAAGGUAAAAUACAUUUUUGCAAAUAAUAGUGAUCAAAAUUAUGAACCUACCAUCUACAAUAGUCACACUACAUCUUCUUACAACAAUGGUAAUUCUUCAUUUGAUCCAACAUGGUAUCCAAACUUUGGUGCAACACAUCACAUGACAUUCGAUGCUGAUAACAUCCAAAAUCAGUCUGAAUACCAGGGUUCAGAUCAGGUCAGAGUGGGUAAUGGUCAAGGUUUGCAAAUAAAGCAUACUGGCUCUUCAUCUCUUCUCUUUAAUCAACAUGCUUUCACAUUAACUGAUAUAUGUCAUGUUCUUGCAAUCUGCAAAAAUUUAUUGUCCGUUAGCAAGUUUAUAAAGGACAACGAUAUAUUUUUUGAGUUUCACCAUGACCGUUGCUUUGUGAAGGACUAUACGGGGAAAAUCCUUCUUCGAGGAGUCAGUAGAGGAGGGUUGUACUGCUUCCCAUCAACAAUAGCCAUUUCAUACAACUCGACAACUGCACCUUCUGCUCUUGUUGGUGAACGAACAAAUCUUCAGGGUUGGCAUCAACGUCUUGGUCAUGCAGCACUUCGUACAGUCCAGCUAGUCGUCUCUCAGUAUGGUUUACUGUAUUCUAGCCAAAAUUCUAGUUUAUUUGUUUGUGAAUCUUGUCAAAUGGGUAAGAGUCGUCGAUUGUCUUUACCUUUGUCUUCGUCUAGGUCUCAGAGUCCUUUGGUUCUAAUUUUGCUGAUGUAUCCCCAGUUAAGUCUAAUAAAGGGUAUUCUUACCAUGUGUUAUUUCUUGAUGAUUUUUCAAAAUUUUCUUGGAUAUAUCCCUUAGCAUGAAAAUCUGAUGUCUAUGAGGUCUUUUUAAAAUUUAAACACCAUGUUGAAUUGUUCUUCAAUUCCAAAAUUCGUGCUUUUCAAUCUGAUUGGGGAGGGGAGUAUCGCAAGCUCUCCUUUUAUCUUGACUUACAGGGUAUCUCCCAUCGGGUGUCCUGUCCACACACACAUGAAUAGAACGGAACAGUUGAGAGGAAACAUCAUCACAUUGUUGAAUCCACUCUCGCUCUACUAGCUACCUCCAAGCUCCCCUUCUCCUUCAGGGCUGAUGCAAUAGAGACAGCCUGCAGUGUUUUGGAUGCACCUGCUAUCCCCUUCUUCGACUAUACAAUGCUCAUAAGUUUCAGUACCGCUCUUUGCAGUGUAUUUUCCUUGGCUACAGUCAUUCUCAUAAAGGGUACAGGUGCCUUCACCUGUCGACAGGUCGAGAAUUUAUUGCCCGCCAUGUGGUAUUCGAAGAAGAACUAUUUCCUGGAAUUCCUCUAGCUCCAUCGCCCACCAGUACAGCAACUCAACCGGGAUUCUAUCUACAUGUACCUUCACAUAUCCUAGCAUCUCAAGUAUCUCCUCCUUCAGUUUGGCUACCAGAUGCAGCACCUCUUCCUAAUCGCACCACUUCCAAUUCGGCUAAGAACUCUUCUCCUGUACAAGCUCUUGUCUGCAAGCAGCAACGCUUUCGUACGACGGAGGACUUGUUGGCUCACACACCAGCUGUACCACCACCUACUUGACAGCAUUCUAUGACCACUCAUUCUUUGGAUGGCACUCUCCCUGCUCGAUCACAUCUCACCACUCAGUAUCCCAUUACAGCCGCCUUACUUAGUUCUCUCUCCUCUGAAACGGAGCCCUGCUCCUAUACAGAAGCAGUCGAGUCUCCCCAAUGGAGGUCGGCUAUGCAGCUGGAAUUCGAUGCUCUUUUGAAAAAUCAAACAUGGGAUUUCGUGCCAUAUUAUUCUUCUAUGAACGUAGUUGGUACUAAAUGGGUGUAUAAAAUUAAGAGGAAAUCAGACAGUUCUUUGGAGCGGUACAAGGCCAGACUUGUUGCUCAAGGUUUUCAUCAGGUACCUGACGUUGAUUUCACUGAUACCUUUAGUCUGGUAGUCAAACUAGUAACGAUUCGUACCAUUUUAGCUAUUGCCACUACUCAUCGGUGGUCUGUACGGCAACUAGACAUCAACAAUGCUUUUCUUCAUGGACUUAUAGCAAAGGACAUCUAUGUUCGCCAACCCAAGGGAUUUGAACGUCCUGACUAUUCAGACUAUGUCUGCAAGCUGAAGAAGGCCCUGUAUGGACUCAAGCAAGCCCCUCGUGCCUGUGAACCUCUGCUGGUCUUGAUCUAUUGCAGAAACGGUACAUUCUGGACUUAUUGCACCGCACCAAACUUGAUGGCACAAAACCCUAUAGUUCUCCGAUGGCAGCAUCUGCUCAGCUAAGCAAGACAUCAGACACCCCUCUCUCCGACCAUUUGACUACAAGAGCAUUGUUGGUGCACUACAGUAUAUCACUCUCACUAGACCGGAUAUCUCCUUCUCAGUCAACAAGGUUUGUCAGUUCCUUCAAACUCCAACUGAUGAACAUUGGUCUGCGGUUAAACGUAUCUUGUGUUACCUUAAGGGAACCCUAGAUCAUGGUUUGCAUUUUGUUGCAUCCUCUACUUCGCUUCUGCUAAAUUGACUGGGCCAGCUGUUCGGAUGACCGUCGGUCUACGGGUGCCUUUGCUAUUUAUUUGGGUCGUCACCUCAUAAGUUGGAGCUCUAAGAAGCAACAUACUGUAGCUCGUUCAAGCACAGAGUCUGAAUUUUGGGCUCUUGCCAAUAGUGUCACUGAGGUUUUGUGGAUUCAGUCUCUUUUGACUGAUCUCAAGUUUCCAGUCUCCAAGCCCACGGUAUGGUGUGACAAUCUUGGUGCUACUUAUCUUGCUACUCAUCCCAUUUUCCAUACUAGAACCAAGCAUGUGGAAGUUGAUUUUCAUUUCCUCUAGAAUCUUUGUGUGGUUAACAAAUUAUCCCUUCGAUAUCUCUGCUCUGAAGAUCAAGUAGCUAACAUUUUCACAAAACCUCUGGCCACACCACGGUUCAGUCUUCUCCAAUCCAAGCUUCACAUCCGGACGUUUAGCUUGAGGGGGCAUAUUGGAGAUAAUCCUCAACCAAACCAGCUUUGGAGAUAAUCCUCCUAGAGGUUAUCCUACCAGAUCUAGAACCUCUAACCAAUCCAGAUCCAAUCUGGACUCUGAGAAAGAUAAGGAUAAGGACUGCAAAUCAAGAUCAAGAUAAUCCAUCAUGUACUCUAUCUACCUUUCUUUUAUUAUCUUGUACAUAUCAUUGUAUGAUCCAAACUCUUCACUACACUCUAUAAAUACCACUAGCUUCAAUGCUCCA
Molecule: non-coding RNA, 5537 nt
Organism: Nelumbo nucifera (sacred lotus)
Lineage: Eukaryota; Viridiplantae; Streptophyta; Magnoliopsida; Proteales; Nelumbonaceae
Source: RefSeq, a predicted model, not a curated record